This 72-nucleotide transfer RNA is filed under the name Marmota monax (woodchuck). It matches the Rfam family "tRNA". From Rfam's summary of the family: Transfer RNA (tRNA) molecules are approximately 80 nucleotides in length. Their secondary structure includes four short double-helical elements and three loops (D, anti-codon, and T loops). Further hydrogen bonds mediate the characteristic L-shaped molecular structure. tRNAs have two regions of fundamental functional importance: the anti-codon, which is responsible for specific mRNA codon recognition, and the 3' end, to which the tRNAs corresponding amino acid is attached (by aminoacyl-tRNA synthetases). tRNAs cope with the degeneracy of the genetic code in two manners: having more than one tRNA (with a specific anti-codon) for a particular amino acid; and 'wobble' base-pairing, i.e. permitting non-standard base-pairing at the 3rd anti-codon position. Lineage: Eukaryota; Metazoa; Chordata; Mammalia; Rodentia; Sciuridae. The record is from Rfam by way of RNAcentral. RNAcentral also lists the same sequence under 1 other name.
UGGGUUGUAGCUCAGUGAUAGAGCACUUGUCUGGCACAUGUGAGACACUGGGUUCCAUCCUCAGCACCACAU